Molecule: transfer RNA, 70 nt
Filed under: Allocebus trichotus (hairy-eared dwarf lemur)
Lineage: Eukaryota; Metazoa; Chordata; Mammalia; Primates; Cheirogaleidae
Description: tRNA-Val
Rfam family: tRNA
About the family: Transfer RNA (tRNA) molecules are approximately 80 nucleotides in length. Their secondary structure includes four short double-helical elements and three loops (D, anti-codon, and T loops). Further hydrogen bonds mediate the characteristic L-shaped molecular structure. tRNAs have two regions of fundamental functional importance: the anti-codon, which is responsible for specific mRNA codon recognition, and the 3' end, to which the tRNAs corresponding amino acid is attached (by aminoacyl-tRNA synthetases). tRNAs cope with the degeneracy of the genetic code in two manners: having more than one tRNA (with a specific anti-codon) for a particular amino acid; and 'wobble' base-pairing, i.e. permitting non-standard base-pairing at the 3rd anti-codon position.
Source: RNAcentral
CAAAGUGUAGCUUAGUAUUAAAGCACCCGGCCUACACCCGGAAGAUUCCACUAUAAAAUGGCCACUUUGA